Molecule: ribosomal RNA, 217 nt
Filed under: uncultured bacterium
Lineage: Bacteria
Description: partial 16S ribosomal RNA
Rfam family: Bacterial small subunit ribosomal RNA
Source: RNAcentral
UAACCUGCCUGGUAGCGGGGGAUAACUAUUGGAAACGAUAGCUAAUACCGCAUAAUAGUAGAUGUUGCAUGACACUUACUUAAAAGGUGCAAUUGCAUCACUACCAGAUGGACCUGCGUUGUAUUAGCUAGUUGGUGGGGUAACGGCUCACCAAGGCGACGAUACAUAGCCGACCUGAGAGGGUGAUCGGCCACACUGGGACUGAGACACGGCCCAG